GACGAACCGUGCGAACGUUGUUCGGAUUCACUGGGCUUAAAGGGCGCGUAGGCGGGUGACCAAGUCAGGGGUGAAAUCUUUCGGCUCAACCGGAAAAGUGCCUUUGAUACUGGUUAUCUCGAGGGAGGUAGGGGCAUGUGGAACUUCCGGUGGAGCGGUGAAAUGCGUAGAUAUCGGAAGGAACGCCGGUGGCGAAAGCGACGUGCUGGACCUUUUCUGACGCUGAGGCGCGAAAGCCAGGGGAGCAAACGG
This 252-nucleotide ribosomal RNA is filed under the name uncultured bacterium. RNAcentral describes it as "partial 16S ribosomal RNA". It matches the Rfam family "Bacterial small subunit ribosomal RNA", at positions 524 to 775 of the family's 1533-position model. The record is from RNAcentral.